AGGAGCAUGUGGUUAAUUCGAUGAUACGCGAGGAACCUACCUGGGCUCGAACGUAAGAUGACUGUAGGUGAAAGCUUACAUCUCUUCGGAGCAUUUUACGAGGUGCUGCAUGGUUGUCGUCAGCUCGUGCCGUGAGGUGUCGGGUUAAGUCCCAUAACGAGCGCAACCCCUACCUUAGUUGCCAUCAGGUUAAGCUGGGGACUCUAAAGGAACUGCCUACGCAAGUAGUGAGGAAGGCGGGGAUGACGUCAAAUCAGCACGGCCCUUACGUCCAGGGCUACACACGUGCUACAAUGGCCGAUACAGAGGGCAGCUACCUGGUGACAGGAUGCAAAUCUCCAAAGUCGGUCUCAGUUCGGAUCGGAGUCUGCAACCCGACUCCGUGAAGUUGGAUUCGCUAGUAAUCGCGCAUCAGCCAUGGCGCGGUGAAUACGUUCCCGGGCCUU
Molecule: ribosomal RNA, 446 nt
Filed under: uncultured Sphingobacteriales bacterium
Lineage: Bacteria; Pseudomonadati; Bacteroidota; Sphingobacteriia; Sphingobacteriales
Description: bacterial SSU rRNA
Rfam family: Bacterial small subunit ribosomal RNA
Source: RNAcentral